Meriones unguiculatus (Mongolian gerbil) is the source of this 581-nucleotide long non-coding RNA. RefSeq lists it as uncharacterized. The record is from RefSeq and is a predicted model, not a curated record. Lineage: Eukaryota; Metazoa; Chordata; Mammalia; Rodentia; Muridae. The transcript is spliced from 3 exons.
UAAACAUGAUGGUAUCAAGACAUUGUCUCAGUUUUGGAGAGAAAUUGAAUUGAAGAUACAGUGACCACUGGCCAUUGACUUGGAACUAAAAUCCAGAGGAAAUUUUGGAGCUCAAAAUAUAAAUUUGUGCAUUCAGUUGAUGGCUGUGGCUGAUGGUGGUUAGAGACGGGAAACAAAGGCUGAACUGGAGCAGCAACCAUGACUCGGGAAGAACUGAUGGGAAGACCUAGAAACUAAAACAACACAGUGAAAAGAGAGCUGAGGGAAUGACUGGGAAAACAGCAAGAAUACCAAGCAGCCGAGCUGUCUGAAAGAGAUUUACAGCAGAGUCACUUGAAAAGGACACUCUCCAGCCUGUUGAGCUGCCUGCAGGAUAUUCCCAGCUUUGUAAACUGUCAUGCUGGGUGUACCAUAUGCGUGCCUGGUGCCUGAGGAGAUCAGGAGAGGCGUCGGAUCCCUAGGAGCUGCUGGAUGGUUGUGAGCCACCAUGUAGGUGCUGGCAACUGCAUCUGGGUCCUCUGCAAGAACAACGAGCUUUCUUAACCACCCAGCCAUCCGUCCAGCCCCUAAAGCAGUUUUAA